RNAcentral lists this transfer RNA (73 nucleotides) under Rattus norvegicus (Norway rat). It matches the Rfam family "tRNA". Rfam says of the family: Transfer RNA (tRNA) molecules are approximately 80 nucleotides in length. Their secondary structure includes four short double-helical elements and three loops (D, anti-codon, and T loops). Lineage: Eukaryota; Metazoa; Chordata; Mammalia; Rodentia; Muridae. The record is from Rfam by way of RNAcentral.
GGGAAUGUGGCUCAGAUGCUAGAGUGCUUGCCUAACGAGCAUGAAGUCCUGGGUUCCAUCCCGCCCGAUCCCA